RNAcentral lists this small RNA (2783 nucleotides) under Pongo abelii (Sumatran orangutan). RNAcentral's name for it is "retained intron". Lineage: Eukaryota; Metazoa; Chordata; Mammalia; Primates; Hominidae. The record is from RNAcentral.
GCCCUUGGAAGUAGCUGGAGGUGAGGUGGGAAAGCCACCGUGCUUAUCUGGUUGUGGCACAUGCAGUAUUAGGAAAGCCAUUUUGUGAGAGGGCUUAGAAUUCAAAGGUGCGUGGCAGUUCAGCCGCAUCUUCAAGACGGAGGCCAAGGACAGCCUGUAGCUUUACAUCUUAGAGUUUCAUCACAUGCAGGUUGUCUGGGAAAAUCACCUUUGCAUUUUUUUUAUUACUUAAAAUAGCUCCUAUAUGUUUGAUGUCUAGAUCACAAAUUUUAAGAAAUUAUAGGAGCUGAGUUUGGUACAUCUAAGAGCUGAGAGUGAGUGAUACUGAGCCAUCUGCAAAACUGCUGGUGAGAGAUGCAAAUUAGAAAUCUUCAGCCAUCUGUGUUUGUAAGUGGAAACAUAUAAAUACACAUUUCUCAUUUGCCAAUUACACCUUCCCUGGUGUAAGGGGAAGAAAACAACUUGGCAUCUGAUGUGGGGAGAAUUAUUGCUAAGACCCGGAGGCAGGGUACUUCUUACUGCUUCAGGCCUGAAUUUAGGUGGUCAUUUGGGGUGUGCAGGACAGAGCACCUCCUAAGGACCUGAGAGUCCAGUCAGUCAGUGGGGAGGCCCAGCUCCCCCACCAACUGUAUGAGGACAGAUCACCCACUUCCUCACUUGGGGCUCUGGUUUUCUCUUCUUACUACCCGAUUCCAGUGCCUAUCCUGUCUUUCAAAUCCUCUGUUUAAAAAAUGAAUCUUAAGCUCUCUCGGAGGGUCCACCAGGCCUUGCCCCUCUAUUCCCAGAGACAAAUGACACCCCUUCCAGGCUAGUCUCAGGAUCCAGUAGGAUUCCCUUUGCUGAUCUGUGCCUUUGACCUCUGCUCUGCCACUUCUGUUUUACCUGCAAGGGGCAUGACAUACAGGGCACUAAAUUAUAAAGUUCUCCCAGGCAGUUCCACCAAAGUCCCACAUUUAUACAAGGGAAGGCAUACACAGUUUUAACUGCCUAGCCUGGGGCAGCUGGCCUUUCCCCAGGCCCUUUAAAACACCUGUUUGACCAGCCUGUGGGUUCUUUCCCAUCGGGGUUCCAGCUUGAGUCCUGCUGGUAGCCCUUGGCACAAGGCCUGGUAGGCAGCUUGGUGCUGCCAUGUACCAAACUCUGCUGGGGAAACCUCAGCCACAGCAGGUGCAAACCCAUUAGGUAUAGCAUGGUUCAAGAUAUUUUUGCUUGUUUCAAUAACAUUUUUGUUCUUGAUUUUAAGGGCUACUUUAGAAACUGUUUUAAAAUAUUUUUGAAAGUAUAAAGAGGUGAAUAAAACAUACUCUUGUUCCACUGUGCAAAGAUAGUCACUGUUAAUGUUUCUUUCCAGUCGUUUUCUAUGCAUAGUUUAGCCGUGACUUCUCAUGGGGACAAACCCACUGGUUUAAUUCAACCCCCCAAUGUCAGGUUUUUAUAGGUCAGCCCAGAGUUCUCAAGCCCAGUCAUAAAGCAGAGUUAGGACUCAAAUUCACACCCUGUGACUGAGCUGUUUCUACUGUACCAUGAGACACUACCCACAAAUCACUCCUUCUCCAGUAUCUACGACGUGACCAUAACAAACCAUACCCCUUGGACAGAUAUUCCUAAAAAAAAAAAAAAAAAAGUUUCAGAAAUACCCGACCAAAUACAAAAAGUUUGGAUGUUUUCCUUUAGCAGUGGUGUGGAGACUCUAGUGUGCUCUUGUAUAGAAGCGUAGCAUGCAGCUAAACCCAGUGCCCUGGAAACCUUCUUUGCAGAGCAUCUGUGGACAGGGAUUCUGGAACAUGCUCUGGGAGACAUGGUACUUUGCAGUUUGUGGCAGACCCCAGGCCUGUGUCCUUAGAUCUGGCAAGGGAAAGGCAAGUCUUUGGUGGAGAUGUAUAGCUAGAAAGGGACCCGUCUUCUAGGAAAAGAAAAACACAGUUCCUUAAAAACUAAUCUAAUUCUGCCACAAAUAAACAGGAUCCGUUAUUCACACAGUGAGGCCAUCCUCAGCAGGGAGAAGACAAUGGCAGAGUGGAGAUGCUGGUCAGGUUGCUUAGCAGAUCAUUUAAAGCAGUUGCUUUCCUAGUAGCUUUGUCCUGAAUUGGGUCUGGGAGAUUUAGAGAAUACAUCAUAGUAGAGACAAAUACAUCAUAUUGGUGUGCAAGUUGAUAAUUAGCACACCAAUCGACUUGAAGAAGAAGGGUUGGAAACCCAAAACAAUUAUUUUGAGGCUGCAAAUGUUCUGACACGUUGAGUUGAGUUUGCGUUCAGUUGAGUUUGAUGGGUAAGGCUCUGCCUCUGGGAGAACCGUGUAUGCUUUCUGAGAGUGGAGAGAGGCUUACUACAAACUUGGUCAAAAUUCCUGGUGGUGACACAUCAUAAUGCCAACUUUCCAAGGGUGUGGCUUGGCUCCAGCUCACGUUGGAAUCACAACACAGCAGACAGCUGUGGAACUCCUCAGACUCAGGCCAUUGGAGGGCCCAGGAAGAUACACCGUGGCAGGGGAGUGGGUCUGUGUUUGGCAUCUUGUGCUUUGCAGUGAACCAGAGCUCACUGUUUCUGUUUCAUCCUCGCACCACUAGCUGCUGUCAGCGCAGGCCACGGCCUGCCUGCCAAGUUUGUGAUCCACUGUAAUAGUCCAGUCUGGGGUGCAGACAAGUGUGAAGAACUUCUGGAAAAGACAGUGAAAAACUGCUUGGCCCUGGCUGAUGAUAAGAAGCUGAAAUCCAUUGCAUUUCCAUCCAUCGGCAGUGGCAGGAACGGUUUUCCAAAGCAGACAGCAGCUCAGCUGAUUCUGA